AUGAGGAGAUUUUUCAGAGCGCAUAGCUACAGCGAUGAAGACAACAGUCAGAUCCAGUACCUGACGGCUAAGUGUAACCGUCUGACACAUGAAAAAGUAGUGCUGGAGAGGGAAUGCAUGGGGGCCAGGGAGAGAGAGAGGAGCCUGCAGAAUGAGCUGGAGGCUCUGUCCACACAGCUCUGCCAACAGGAGCAGGUCAACAUAGAUUUGAUGUUCAAACAUGAUCAAAUGCUCGGCAGGGUCCAUCAUGAACAGCAACGGGUACAUCUUGUGGUGGAGGAGAGCUUCAGAGAUGCUGCACUGCUGGGCCUACAGCUGGAACAGGUCAACUCGGAGCUACUGCACCUGCAAAGUUCUGAGGUGCAGCUGGAAGGCCUGGUGGAAGAGCUGCACACGGAGGACCUGCAGAGAGCUGCAUUGACAGAGGACCUUCAGGUGCAGCUGCACAGUAAGGUAUUGGAGUUGGAAGAGCUUCAGUGCUGCUACGCUGCCAACACCCAGGAGCUGGAGGAGCUGCGUAGCGCCAACCAGAGGAAGGUGCAGGGACUGCAGCGGGAGAACGAGUGCAGCCUGAAGAAGCUCCAGGAGACGGCCGAGCAGUUUGAGUGGCUGUGUGAACAGCAGCGCUACUGGAUGUGCUGUGUCAAGAGAUUCAAAGACUGCCUGUCAGAGGAGAAGGACUCUCUGGUGCAGCAGGUGAAACGGUUGGAGAAGGAGGUAGCAGAGCUGAGGAAGAGCUCAGAGAGCACCACCCAGAUGCUGUGCUGCCCCCUAGAGGACACAGUCAGCCAGCACUGUGACAGAAUGCCCUCUUGGGAAUCCGGUAAGAUGGCUGACCUGCAAACCCAGGUGGACAAAUGGAGAAAGCUGUAUGAGGACCUCUUCAGCCAGUUCACACCCCACCAAGGGGGGCACGUUGUCGACGGAUACCAAAAACCUCCUUGAGGUCAGAAGACCAUGAAAUCCAUCUAUUUUUCUUCAACCCAGUGGAGGCACUCCUAACUUUUGGCUGUUUGUCUCGCUACUCAACUGUUGCUGAGAACCAUACAACCUCACCGUUCUGUUGUUGUCAUUGUUUAAAUGUCUUGAAACCACUGCAUGACCAUGACUGUACUGGAGUGUGAUAUGCCACUUUGUUACAGUCUUUUGGUAUGAGUAUUACAGUGUUCUCCUAUUUGGACACUUUCCUGUCAUUGUCUAUUUUCAGACACACUGGUGGAACAUAGUAAAUCAACAAGUAAAAACACCUGAGAAUGUCUGUUUUGUUGUUGCUCUGCCAAUCCAGAUGAUGACUCUAGCUGAUGAGCAGAGAACCACAACACAUGCUAAUGUUUUGUCCUGGUGAACAUUCCUGACAUUAACUCCCAUUUACAAUUAACCAGAUGUGGGAUUAAAAACACAACUCAUGUAAAAUAUACUCUCUGUAAAAUGUACAUAUGUUCAGAACUUUUGUGAAACGGCACAGUUAAAAAAUAUAUGGCAAAAUGGAAAUCAAACUGGAUGCGCUUCAGCGAUAGAUGGUAGCUGAAAGAUGGGAUUAAAAACAAACAAGGGAACUAUUGUAAAAUACGUUGUCUGUAAAGUGUGUGUGUAGAAGCCUAAGUGGUCUUGUCCAUUAGUUUACUCCAAUUAGAAGGCAUGGUAGGUUUAGGGGGAAAAUAAUAAAGGAACAUAUAUUUUAAAAAGAUGUGUGUGUGUGUGUGUGUGUGUGUGUGUAUAUAUGUAUAUAUAUAUAUAUAUAUAUAUAUAUAGUAGCAGUCAAAAGUUUGGACACCUACUCAUUCAAGGGUUUUUAUUUUUACUAUUUUAUACAUUGUAGAAUA
Molecule: long non-coding RNA, 1823 nt
Organism: Oncorhynchus kisutch (coho salmon)
Lineage: Eukaryota; Metazoa; Chordata; Actinopteri; Salmoniformes; Salmonidae
Source: Ensembl